Molecule: ribosomal RNA, 532 nt
Filed under: uncultured Bacillus sp.
Lineage: Bacteria; Bacillati; Bacillota; Bacilli; Caryophanales; Bacillaceae
Description: bacterial SSU rRNA
Rfam family: Bacterial small subunit ribosomal RNA
Source: RNAcentral
AGCACGCCGCGUGAGUGAUGAAGGCCUUCGGGUCGUAAAGCUCUGUUGUUAGGGAAGAACAAGUGCUAGUUGAAUAAGCUGGCACCUUGACGGUACCUAACCAGAAAGCCACGGCUAACUACGUGCCAGCAGCCGCGGUAAUACGUAGGUGGCAAGCGUUGUCCGGAAUUAUUGGGCGUAAAGCGCGCGCAGGCGGUUUCUUAAGUCUAAUGUGAAAGCCCCCGGCUCAACCGGGGAGGGUCAUUGAAAACUGGGAAACUUGAUUGCAAAAGAGGAAAUUGAAAUUCCUGGUGUACCGGUGAAAUGCCUAAAGAUUUGGAGGAACACCAGUGGCAAAGGCAACUUUCUGGUCUGUAACUGACCCUAAGGCCCGAAACCUUGGGAAGCAAACAGGAUUAGAUACCCUGGUAGUCCACGCUGUAAACAAUGAGUGCUAAGUGUUAGAGGGUUUCCGCCCUUUAGUGCUGAAGUUAACGCAUUAAGCACUCCGCCUGGGGAGUACGGUCGCAAGACUGAAACUCAAGGAAUUUGA